AGUUCCCUUCGGGGACAUUGGUGACAGGUGGUGCAUGGUUGUCGUCAGCUCGUGUCGUGAGAUGUUGGGUUAAGUCCCGCAACGAGCGCAACCCUUGUCUUUAGUUGCCAUCAUUAAGUUGGGCACUCUAGAGAGACUGCCAGGGAUAACCUGGAGGAAGGUGGGGAUGACGUCAAAUCAUCAUGCCCCUUAUGCUUAGGGCUACACACGUGCUACAAUGGGUAGUACAGAGGGUUGCCAAGCCGUAAGGUGGAGCUAAUCCCUUAAAGCUACUCUCAGUUCGGAUUGUAGGCUGAAACUCGCCUACAUGAAGCUGGAGUUACUAGUAAUCGCAGAUCAGAAUGCUGCGGUGAAUGCGUUCCCGGGUCUUGUACACACCGCCCGUCACACCACGGGAGUUGGAGACGCCCGAAGCCGAUUAUCUAACCUUUUGGAAGAAGUCGUCGAAGGUGGAAUCAAUAACUGGGGUGAAGUCGUAACAAGGUAGCCGUAUCGGAAGGUGCGGCUGGAUC
This 512-nucleotide ribosomal RNA is filed under the name Clostridioides difficile. RNAcentral describes it as "bacterial SSU rRNA". It matches the Rfam family "Bacterial small subunit ribosomal RNA", at positions 1012 to 1524 of the family's 1533-position model. Lineage: Bacteria; Bacillati; Bacillota; Clostridia; Peptostreptococcales; Peptostreptococcaceae. The record is from RNAcentral.